RNAcentral lists this ribosomal RNA (878 nucleotides) under Bacillus amyloliquefaciens. RNAcentral's name for it is "bacterial SSU rRNA". It matches the Rfam family "Bacterial small subunit ribosomal RNA", at positions 481 to 1358 of the family's 1533-position model. Lineage: Bacteria; Bacillati; Bacillota; Bacilli; Caryophanales; Bacillaceae. The record is from RNAcentral.
AACCAGAAAGCCACGGCUAACUACGUGCCAGCAGCCGCGGUAAUACGUAGGUGGCAAGCGUUGUCCGGAAUUAUUGGGCGUAAAGGGCUCGCAGGCGGUUUCUUAAGUCUGAUGUGAAAGCCCCCGGCUCAACCGGGGAGGGUCAUUGGAAACUGGGGAACUUGAGUGCAGAAGAGGAGAGUGGAAUUCCACGUGUAGCGGUGAAAUGCGUAGAGAUGUGGAGGAACACCAGUGGCGAAGGCGACUCUCUGGUCUGUAACUGACGCUGAGGAGCGAAAGCGUGGGGAGCGAACAGGAUUAGAUACCCUGGUAGUCCACGCCGUAAACGAUGAGUGCUAAGUGUUAGGGGGUUUCCGCCCCUUAGUGCUGCAGCUAACGCAUUAAGCACUCCGCCUGGGGAGUACGGUCGCAAGACUGAAACUCAAAGGAAUUGACGGGGGCCCGCACAAGCGGUGGAGCAUGUGGUUUAAUUCGAAGCAACGCGAAGAACCUUACCAGGUCUUGACAUCCUCUGACAAUCCUAGAGAUAGGACGUCCCCUUCGGGGGCAGAGUGACAGGUGGUGCAUGGUUGUCGUCAGCUCGUGUCGUGAGAUGUUGGGUUAAGUCCCGCAACGAGCGCAACCCUUGAUCUUAGUUGCCAGCAUUCAGUUGGGCACUCUAAGGUGACUGCCGGUGACAAACCGGAGGAAGGUGGGGAUGACGUCAAAUCAUCAUGCCCCUUAUGACCUGGGCUACACACGUGCUACAAUGGACAGAACAAAGGGCAGCGAAACCGCGAGGUUAAGCCAAUCCCACAAAUCUGUUCUCAGUUCGGAUCGCAGUCUGCAACUCGACUGCGUGAAGCUGGAAUCGCUAGUAAUCGCGGAUCAGCCAUGCC